Molecule: non-coding RNA, 30 nt
Filed under: Mus musculus (house mouse)
Lineage: Eukaryota; Metazoa; Chordata; Mammalia; Rodentia; Muridae
Source: RNAcentral
UGAUAGACUGCUGAGUUCCUUCACCUUUCU